UAUGGCUCAGGAUGAACGCUAGCGAUAGGCCUAACACAUGCAAGUCGAGGGGCAGCAUAGGGUAGCAAUACUUUGAUGGCGACCGGCGCACGGGUGAGUAACGCGUAUGCAACCUACCUAUAACAGGGGAAUAACCCGGAGAAAUUCGGACUAAUACCGCAUAAAACAGGGGCUCCGCAUGGAGAUAUUUGUUAAAGAUUUAUCGGUUAUAGGUGGGCAUGCGUUCCAUUAGCCAGUUGGUGAGGUAACGGCUCACCAAAGCAACGAUGGAUAGGGGAACUGAGAGGUUUGUCCCCCACACUGGAACUGAGACACGGACCAGACUCCUACGGGAGGCAGCAGUGAGGAAUAUUGGUCAAUGGGCGAGAGCCUGAACCAGCCAAAUCGCGUGAAGGAAAGACUGCCUUAUGGGUUGUAAACUUCUUUUAUACAGGAAUAAAAAGAGUUACGUGUAACUUAUUGCAUGUACUGUAUGAAUAAGCAUCGGCUAACUCCGUGCCAGCAGCCGC
This 509-nucleotide ribosomal RNA is filed under the name uncultured bacterium. Its description in RNAcentral is "bacterial SSU rRNA". It matches the Rfam family "Bacterial small subunit ribosomal RNA", at positions 18 to 518 of the family's 1533-position model. The record is from RNAcentral.